This 84-nucleotide transfer RNA is filed under the name Xylaria scruposa. RNAcentral's name for it is "tRNA-Asn". The record is from RNAcentral. Lineage: Eukaryota; Fungi; Ascomycota; Sordariomycetes; Xylariales; Xylariaceae.
UCCUCCGUGGCGCAAUUGGCUAGCGCGUUCGACUGUUAUUAACAGUAAAUCGAGAGGUUGACAGUUCAAGCCUGUCCGGGGGAG